GACGUAGGGUGCAAGCGUUGUCCGGAUUUACUGGGCGUAAGGGCGCGUAGGCGGUCUGUUAAGUGGGAAGUGAAAUCUCCAGGGCUCAACCCGGAAACUGCUUUCUAUACUGGCAGGCUGGAGGGAUGCAGAGGUGUGUGGAAUUCCUGGUGAAGCGGUGAAAUGCGUAGAUAUCAGGAGGAACACCCAUGGCGAAGGCAGCACACUGGGCAUCAUCUGACGCUGAGGCGCGAAAGCGUGGGUAGCAAACAGGAUUAGAUACCCGUGUAGU
Molecule: ribosomal RNA, 271 nt
Filed under: uncultured bacterium
Lineage: Bacteria
Description: partial 16S ribosomal RNA
Rfam family: Bacterial small subunit ribosomal RNA
Source: RNAcentral